This 516-nucleotide ribosomal RNA is filed under the name uncultured bacterium. Its description in RNAcentral is "bacterial SSU rRNA". It matches the Rfam family "Bacterial small subunit ribosomal RNA", at positions 396 to 913 of the family's 1533-position model. The record is from RNAcentral.
GCCGCGUGAGGGAUUACGGCCCUCGGAUUGGAACCUCUUUCUGUAGGGAGGAAAACCCCGAUACCUGUAUCGGGCUCAAAGGAUCGUACCAGUACAGAUCGCCUAAGUCCACGUCAGGCCCCCCGGUUAUCCGGAGGAUCCGGGGGUAAUCCGGAUUUAUUGGGUUGGGCGGGUGCGGUGGCCAUUUGGUAAGUUAAACCUGAAAACUCAUCCCUCAACUACAAUUUUGCUUUGCAUUCUGCCCUGCUAGACUUUAGUUGGUGUGGGGGGAAUGUGUGUUGGAGUGGUGAAAUGCUUAGAGAUCACACGGAACACCGAUUGCAAAAGCAACUCACAACCCUAUUUCUGACCCUAAGGCCAGGAAGCAAGGCGAGCGGACAAGACUAGAUACCCUGGUAUUCCACGCCGUAAACGAUGAUAACUCGUUGUCGUCGAUGCAAAGUCAAUUCCCAAUCGAAAGCGAUAAGUUAUCCACCUGGGGAGUACGUUCUCCAGAAUGAAAGUCAAAAGACUUGA